Molecule: long non-coding RNA, 6609 nt
Organism: Melospiza melodia melodia
Lineage: Eukaryota; Metazoa; Chordata; Aves; Passeriformes; Passerellidae
Exons: 6
Source: RefSeq, a predicted model, not a curated record
CUAUUUUGUAUGUUGAGGGAGGAAAGAUCAACAAAUAGACCUUCUGUAUUGAUUCCCAAAAGAACUGAGAGGAAGGCAUGGUCUAUAGACAUUUAAGUGUCAACAUCUUCCAUUUGGCAUUGACCGACCCUGUAGCUCUAAGGGUAUCAGUAAGAAACCACGACGAGCAGAUCACUAUCUGUCUUAUUACAUGAUUAAUGGGUUCCCAGAAAUCUUCUUUUAACUACGUUUAAAAACCCUAAGUGAUAUAUAGAUCUCUACAGGAAGUAAGAUGAUAUCAAUAAUAUGGGAGAUUCUUCAGCCUGCUAAAGUGACAAUGUUCAUUGUUACCUUCUGGUACUUCAAGACGUCAGCAAAAAAGAAUGCACCUAAGAAACAAGAAGUUGGUGACCAGCUGAAAGCCUAGCAUGCUAUUAAAGAGGAGCCUGAAGUCCCUUGGCAGUGAAAAAUUAUAGAAAAGCUGCUCCACAUGCUUAAUUUUGUUGUAUUUUGCCUUGGAUUGGAAUAUUCUUUUCAAGAUUAUAAACAUAUUUGUCACUCAGGGAAGAGUUACCUGACUUUACAGGAGCUGUUCUCAUACUUGCACGCAGACAUGUUGUCCUCACAGACCCCCUUCUACGGAGAGGCACUUGAUACGGCAUUGUACGGCCUGAGCGGAGCAGCAUUGCCAAGGCGUUGAAGAAAUACUGAUGAUGAUGAUGAUGAUGAUCUCACUUGACUUCCUUUUUGAGUCCUAAAGUAGGAGUUAGAAUUUGUCACAAGACUUUGUGUUUCCAUUGAGAAACAAGUUUUCAAAUAUAAUUUUGAUAAAUGACAGUUAAUAGAAGUAGAUAGACUCUAAAAAUGUUUGACUGCUUGCAUGAUCCAAGCCUUUGUCCUGCAAAGCAAAAAAACUGCGUUUCCAGUGAUGGUAAAUCAGUUAACUACCUAAACUUUCACUAAGAUGCACAUCAACAUGGAUAACACAGUUGUGUUGAAUGAAUAUGUUUUGAAAGACUUCCCCUAGGAUAAUAUAUAAGCAGUGUUUGUGACUUCAGUUUUUGUUUGUCAAUCAUAGGAAGCUAGCUACAUUUUGCUAACUGAAUUGAAAAAUCACAUUCAUUUUGUGGAUACAGCAUAAGAUAAUUGUCAAAGUAUUAAUAAGUGAUUGAAAAUUAUGCUAACUACAAAACAGCAUGAUCUGACUCCCAGAGGUGUACAUAGGUAUAUUGCAAUAUCUUAAACCAAGGCUCAGGAAAUCUUGCCUCAGAAAUGAGGACUUGAAUUUGGAAACUUGAGGAAUAUGUUAUAAUUAUUAAGGAAUAUCAGAUUAGAUACCUGAAGGAGAGCUUGAUGUCUAAGAAUGUGAACUGCUUUGAUGGUGAAACCACCCAGGCAGCUACCAAGGUAAUCCCAAAGUUGCAAUUUAAAUCACUGCAUUUCAGGAAAGCUAAGGAUCUUACUUUGGUUUAAAGAAAGGAAAGCUGAAAUUCUGAAGUCUACAUGCUCUCCUGAAGUCACCUGUUUAUGGCAAGUGUUUAUGGCAAGUGCAGACCAAAGCAAACAACAAGCUUCAAUUCUGUCUGGUAUCCUGGAGAAUGAAACAGGUGAAGAUGGGUACAAUUUUAGCCCCAUGCAGCCUUGCACAGAAUAAUUAAAUAUCUGUCAGACCAGAAAGAUUAAGGCUCUGACACAAGUGUAAUGGUUUGUAAAUUCACCCAAGGAAGAGUAUGGCAGUUCUGUUUUCUGGUUUGUCUCACUUCCCUGACGCAAAGCUUCGUAUUAAAUCUUUUACAUGAAAUGAAAAACUUCUGCCCUGGCAGUUCUCUUGUUACCAGACUAAAAGGGAUAACUAUGGCUCUUAUUCAGUCUCUUCAACUCUAGUUAUAACAACAUUCAGUUAGAUCACUGAAAAGUGAAACAUUUGUUAUAUGGGAUUGCUCUUCCUUGUGAAUAGGCUCAUAUAAUUAAUGAUAACUUCCAGUCAGAGGUAGAACGAAAAGGCUGGGUCUCCCACAUCUUGCUGAAACUGCUUUAUCACUGAGCAUUCUUAACAGAAAAAAAAAAUUCUAUGUGGGUUUUUUUCACUAGGAAAUUGGUCUCUGAAAACUUCCACCUGAAUCGGGCUCUAUGGUGUGUGUGGACAGUAAUGCCACCUUGUGGCUCUUGAGAGAUGUAGGUCUCUAGGCGCUCAUUAACAAAGACUCAAGACUUUGCUGGGUCUGCGAGGCUCAAAACCACACAAUCACCUACUCAAGUUUCUUACUAAAAACAAGCGUAAUUCUAGUUUGGCUGCUCUUAAUCAGAAGUUCUGAAGAUCCCAAUUCCUGGUUUUGAUCUAUCUUCAGUCUUGCACCUGCAUUGCUUACGCUCGCAACAGUAAGACAAAAAGGAGAAUGUCCUCAAGUCAGGACUGAAGAAUUCCAGAAGAUGGCAGGCCAGUUCAAAGACAUUCUCAGAAACAUGUUUAGGAAGCGGAUAAAUUCUGAAGAAACUUUCUAUGAUGAAGUAUGGACAGGUAACCUUGAUGUUAUGAAGGACUGUACUAAAUUUUAAUUAGUUUGGUUUGUUUAAACAAGUAGAAAAUAGAAAAAUCUGUGGUAGAACUUCACCUCUGUUGGCUCUCCAGAAGCCAGUUAGUUGUUCUCUAGAACAAUUAAAACUCCCUAAAAUAAAUAAAACAAGCUUUAACACCUUGAAGAGCCUUAUAUUCCUUAAGACUGAGUGACAUAUAAAUGCUCCCAUUUCAAGAAACCUUUCCUGUCAUUACAUAUUCUUAUACACACAUCACCUAUGCCCACAUUUUUCACUCUUUGUCAUAGUCUUUUAUGCCAUGUAUAUCUUCCUAUGUUGAUUUCUUUAUCAUAAUGUCUUUCAUACCUAUUUCUUCAGUUAUUUUCUCUUUUCUGUAAGGUAUAUAUUGAAGUGGACUAAGAAGACUUGGAUAUUGUUCUUGGCUGCAGAUGUGUCAACCACUGUUUUCAUAACUUGGUUCUGAUUAGUUUCAUUUUGCAUCCAAACUAUGUAUAAAGGAAUUAAAGUUCUUUAAACUGCUGAAACUAGCAGCAGUCUAAUUACUCUUAAGAAAUUAAUGAGUAUGUUUGUGGCCAAAGAAAACAAGAUCAUACUAAAAGCAGAAGAAAUUUGUUUUUUACCACUACAUGGAUUAUAUUAAUUCAUUGAUAUGAAGACAGCAAAGAAAACCUGUUAUAUAGCCUCUCUUGCUCCUGUUGUGAUCUUGCUUGCUCUCUCUUUCAUUUAAUCCCAAGACACAUGUGAUCAUAAAAUUAAAUUAAAUCAAAUUCAGCACAUAAAAACAACAUUUAAAACUGUGGAAUUCAUCCAUAUGGUGGUAUGUUCCAAAUAUUAUCUCAUACCAUGUUGACAAAUUCCUAACAUAUGUCUAAGAUCCUUACAGGGUCAGAACUGUUUUAGUCGAGUGUAUUGGGUCGUAGCUGUCAGGCCUGCUAGCAGAGGUAGUAAUUCCUCCAAUUUAAAAGUGGAUUAAAAAGAAUUUUUGGCAUCCUCUAGCUAAUAAAAGAUGAGGUUAUAGUCUCCUUCAAAUCAGGCUUUACAAAAUCUAUGAUCUAAACUAGACAGGAGUACACAAAAAUGAACAUAAACUAGAUGAAGAAAGAGAUUUCUUAAGAAAACUUUAAGGUCAACUGAAACAAUCACUCAUAAAAUUACAACAAAGAGUCUGAUAACAUAAUCUUAAAUUAUUUAAUCCUGCUGUAAUCUGCCAUUCUUGCUUACCUUAUUUUGUCUCUGCUGGGAUACUUCUACUGAACAGAAUGCUAGAAGCAGCUCUGUUACAGCCAAUUUAUUGUCUGAACAGAGGGCAGGAAGCCAAACCUCUGAAUAAAACAAAAGUCCGACGUGGAUUUAAUCUUCUAGAUCUCUACACACUCUCAUUUAUAUCAACAUUCCAAUGGUUCUAACUAUUCCUGGAAUUACAAAAGGGUUGGAAAUUGUAGGAGCAAACUUUUAAAUGCCUGUUUCUGUAUGAUGCCACAGAACUGCCUAGAACUGCACGCAAAGUUUUAGCCACUAGUUUUGUGUAUUCUAUUCCUAUAUUUUAUGUCACUAAUAUUGUUCUUGUUAUCUGUCAUUCUUCCAGGGCUGAGUCACGUGCAGAUACUAGGGUUAGAGUAAUACAGACAUAUCAAAAGUAGGAGUUGUAGCCUCUGUUUCAGGGAGCUCAAAACAAACUUACUGCUUAAACAUUUUCCCAGCUAUCAAAUGGGCUUUGCCUGCACGGCAUCAAUUCCCAUACUUGGCAUCAAUUCCCAUGCUUGUGACAUGAGUGAGCUGCUAAAAAUUAGAUGUGAUUCAUCUCUUUGCCCAUGAGGCCCUGGUAAUAUGUAGGUUUUCGUUAUCAAAUUUAGUACAUUCAGUUGGCCUUACCUACCUGUUUGCAUCCCUUCACUCCUAGUGGUGAGUCCUUCCUAUCCAUAUUAUCUAACCCUUUUUUAAUUAGUGAGCCUUGCAUUUUUAUAGGAGUGAGUAACAUUUUUAUUUAUCUCACUGAAAUGAGAAAAAAUCCCAUAAAAUCAAUUACAUUUACUUUUUUUUUGGCCAAAGCUUUCUGAAAAUCAAGAAGCUACUGCUUUUAUCUAGAGUUUGUUUACUAUAUAAAGAAGGUUACAUAAUUUAUCUGUGUUUGAUUUAGGAGAAGUCUUUUUCAUUUUCCAAGCCCUCACCAGACACUGGUAAUGUAUUGGAUCAACAGAAAAACUUUAUUGAAACACAUACUUAGUGACAAAGCAAUUCGAUACUUUGAAAUCUCAAGUCUUUGUCUAUUACCCAAACAAUCUGCAAAACGUGGGGAAGUUUCUAAAUAGCAUGGUGUAAGAGUGUCCUUCCAGUACACAAUCAUCCUAAUUUUGUGUGGGAUAGAGUUAAUUUUCAUGCUGGUAUAUGGGAUAAUGUUGUGAUUUAGAUUUAGGAUGAGAAUAAUGUUGAUAGCAGACUGAUGAGUGGAGUGUUAAGCAUUAAGACAAGGACUUUUUCUGUUUCUCACAUCACACUACCAGUGAAGAGUCUGCGAGAUAUGAGUAGCUGGGAGGAGACAGAGGUGAUAUAGCUGACCGUGACUGACUGGAAGGAUAUUCCAUACUCUAUGGUGUAAAGCUUAGUAAUAUUAGCUGCAGAUAAAGCUGGCUGGGGGCUUGGGAGCCGGCUCUGUAUCUGCUAGCAGGUGGCUACCGGCCACAUUGUGCAUUACUUGUUUUGUAUACUCUAAUUUUAAUGACAGUUAUUUUUGUUUCCCCUCCUGUUUCUGGCCUAUUAAGCUGUCUUUAUCUCAAUGGUGAAUUUAAUGUUUUUUCCCCCAGUUCUCUUACUUAUCCUGGGGUGGUGACAGGGAAGUGAGCAAGUGUUUUGUAUGGUGUUAGCUGCCUGCUGGGUUAAACCACAAGAGUCCAUUUUGGCACCCAACCCAUGGGUGUGAAGGGUUAAGAUAACCACUGCUUUGACGUGUUAAAACAAAUUUGUUAUAAGCAAUUAGUUGCAUUGGUUUAAUAGUUACUGGCCACAAUGUUGACUUAUUUGAUCCCAACGUUGUUGUGUGUUCUCAGAGUUGCAUUGGUAACACCUUACUUGCUAUGUUCCCUGCUGUGUCAUUUCUCAGCUCUGGGUUAGGGUUGAUGUUGUUGAGCUUUGUAACGUGGGGUUUUGAUAUGAUAAGAUGCCUCUUGGCAGGACUGAGGCAGUGUGUACACCCAGCAUCGCUGCUGCACCUGCAUUCCUGUCAGGAAUGACACAUAACUACACCUCCAGGGGUCCAUCCAUGGGAAUGACACCCUCUGCCAUCCUUCCUUUCUCCUCCAGGUGACUUACAACACCUCUUGGAAAGUAUUCCCAGGGUGACCAAACCAGCACCUUUGCAUUGCUAUGACACAUGAAUAUGUCUCAGCUCUUGUGUAAGUUUACACAACAAGGUAAGAACAUCACCCACAGAUCUGCCCUAAGGCAGGAUAGUUAUGAGUGGCAAGGGGUGUGGGAUAGGAUGGGCAAGUGCCUAGGGCAGUGGGCAUCUCCCAGUGUUUUAAGACUUCACCUCUAAAAACCUAAGGAAUGCGGAAAAAUGUAUUAAAAUAUUUGGGCAAGAUGAGCUGUCACCCAAUAAUUCCAGAGAGACACAAAUCACUGCAAUGUGCUGGGGCCUGGUCCAGGCUGACCGAGAUCUGUUCAGCAGAGCUCAGUGCCUGCUGCAGGAGGGAAGGUCUCUGGAACUAAAAGCAAAGUGACAGAGUCCAAGGCUGAACCAGAAAACCAACCUGUGCCAGUAUUAUCUGAGAUUGUACGCAAGGAGAAAUACUGGAAGAAGAAGUGUGUGGAAGCAGGUGACAGCUGGUCUGUGAGCUAGGAAGAGUGAGUUAGAAGAAGCUGGUAAGAGUUGUGUUUACCCCUGAAAGGAAUUCUGCCAAGGUUGUUGACAUGGAAACUAAGAAGAAGAAAAAGAUAAACAAAAGAAACCUGCAGUUCAGUAUAGCUGGAAACAGUGGUGUAGACUGCUCUGUAACAAAGAACAAUGUGUUGAUUUAUUGUAACCAAUGAAUAAGUAUAAACUUUGUUGGGAAUGUAUAGAAGACAACAUGCUGUUAUAAUAAAGAGAGCCUUUUGAAA